This is an RNA transcript of Juglans microcarpa x Juglans regia, 2917 nucleotides long. It is a transcript of the gene named glutamine--tRNA ligase, with no coding region annotated. NCBI's taxonomy places the organism in Eukaryota, Viridiplantae, Streptophyta, Magnoliopsida, Fagales, Juglandaceae. The transcript is spliced from 23 exons. The record is from RefSeq and is a predicted model, not a curated record.
AGAUUCUCUCUCUCACCUUUAGGGUUUUUCUGAUUUUCCCAACACGCUACACUUUCAGAAUUUAGACACGAGGUUUUGGACUGUCCCUAGGUCCGUUACUUUCUGCUAAGAAAAUGCCGGUGAAGGACGAGAGCUCUGACAAGGAGAAGUACUUGGACUUGUUUCUGAAGAUCGGAUUGGACGAACGAACCGCGCGAAACACCGUCGCCAACAGCAAGGUUACGGCCAAUCUGGUUUCUGUUAUUCACGAGGCUGCUGUCACCGAGGGAUGCAGUCGGACGGUCGGAAAUCUCCUAUACACGGUUGCUACAAAAUAUCCAGCAAAUGCUCUUGUGCAUCGCCCAUCCUUGCUGCAAUACAUUGUUUCGUCAAAGAUUAAAACUACAGCUCAGUUAGAAGCGGGUCUUUCAUUUUUUGCAGCUACUGCAUCAGAUGAUUUUAAGUUGGAUGCAUUUGAAGAAGCAUGUGGGGUUGGUGUUGAGGUUUCAGCAGAAGAAAUUGAACAAGCUGUUAAUGAGGUUUUUGAAGAGAAUAAGAAUUUGAUUUUGGAGAAACGAUAUCGAACUAAUGUGGGUGAAUUAUUAGGUCACGUUCGGAAGAGGCACCCAUGGGCUGAUCCAAAGAGCGUCAAGCAAUUUGUUGAUGCAAAAUUAUAUGAUCUACUUGGUGAAAGGACAGCAGCCGAUAAUGAAAAGACUUCCAAGAAGAAGAAAGAUAAGCCCACUGAAGUAGAGGUUAAAAUGGUUGCCGUUGUUACUCCAGAACAGCAAUCUGAAGAAGAACUUAAUCCAUUUUUGAUAUUUCCUCGACCAGAGGAAAAUUUCAAGGUGCACACUGAAGUAUUUUUCAGUGAUGGCUCUGUCCUUAGGUGUUGCAAUACAAAGGAACUGCUUGAAAAACACUUGUACGCAACGGGAGGGAAAGUUUUAACUCGCUUUCCUCCUGAACCAAAUGGGUAUUUGCAUAUUGGUCAUGCCAAGGCAAUGUUUAUUGACUUUGGCCUCACAAAAGAUAGAGCUGGAGGAUGCUACCUUAGGUAUGAUGACACAAAUCCCCAAGCUGAGAAGAAAGAGUAUAUUAAUCAUAUAGAAGAAAUUGUCCAUUGGAUGGGUUGGGAGCCCUUGAAGAUAACUUACACCAGUGAUUAUUUCCAAGAUUUGUACGAUUUAGCCGUAGAGCUCAUACGAAGGGGUCAUGCAUAUGUUGAUCAUCAGACACCUGACGAGAUCAAGGAGUACAGGGAAAAAAAGAUGAACAGUCCUUGGAGGGACAGACCUGUUGCAGAAUCAUUGAAACUUUUUGAUGAUAUGAGAAAAGGCCUUAUUGAAGAAGGGAAAGCGACAUUGAGGAUGAAGCAAGACAUGCAGAGUGAUAAUUAUAAUAUGUAUGAUCUUAUUGCUUAUCGUAUCAAGUUUACUCCUCAUCCACAUGCUGGAGACAAGUGGUGUAUCUAUCCCAGUUAUGAUUAUGCUCACUGCAUUGUGGAUUCUCUUGAGAAUAUUACACAUUCGCUUUGUACACUUGAAUUUGAGACACGCCGUGCUUCAUAUUAUUGGCUAUUACAUGCACUGGGCCUUUACCAGCCAUAUGUGUGGGAAUAUUCACGACUUAAUGUUACUAACAUGGUGAUGUCUAAGCGGAAGCUAAAUCGAUUGGUGACAGACAAGUGGGUUGAUGGUUGGGAUGACCCUCGCCUUAUGACUCUAGCUGGUUUGCGUCGUAGAGGCGUGACUUCAACGUCCAUUAAUGCUUUUGUUCGAGGAGUUGGGAUCACUAGAAGUGAUAAUAGUACAAUAAAUUUGGAUCGCCUUGAGUAUCACAUAAGAGAAGAACUAAACAAAACGGUACCUCGUGCAAUGGUCGUGCUAUAUCCGCUGAAGGUUGUUAUCACAAACCUAGAAGCUGGCUCAAUAAUAGAUCUUGAUGCAAAGAAAUGGCCCGAAGCUCAAUCAGAUGAUGCAUCUGCUUUUUACAAGGUUCCAUUUUCCAAUACUGUGUACAUUGAACGUUCUGAUUUUCGAAUGAAAGAUUCCAAGGAUUACUAUGGACUUGCUCCUGGUAAAUCUGUCCUUCUCAGAUAUGCAUUUCCGAUAAAGUGCACUGAAGUUAUCCUAGCUGAUGAUAAGGAAACUAUUCUAGAGAUCCGGGCUGAGUAUGAUCCCUCUAAGAAGACAAAGCCUAAGGUUCAUUGUUGUGCUGGCUUUGCCCUGGUGUUCUUCAUUGGGUGGCUGAACGUUCCCCUGGGGUUGAUCCACUCAGGGUGGAAGUCAGAUUGUUUGACAAAUUGUUCCUUUCGGAGAAUCCAGCUGAACUUGAUGAUUGGCUUGCUGAUCUGAACCCUCAGUCCAAAGUGGUGAUUUCCAGUGCAUAUGCUGUACACUUACUGAAGAAUGCUGUAGUUGGGGACAGAUUCCAGUUCGAAAGGCUUGGUUAUUUUGUGCUUGAUAGAGAUUCCAUUCCUGAAAAGCUCGUCUUCAAUAGAACAGUCACAUUAAGAGAUAGCUAUAGUAAGGGUGGGAAGUAGGUCUGUGCCCUGGGAAACUGCAAGUAAAAUACAAUUUUGCAAGCGGGAGCAGGGAGCUACCAUCUUGCAACUUGCGAGUAUUUUGUGCAGGUCAAGUGAGAGGAAAAAAGGUACUUUGUGUGUAGAAUAAUACUCUACUUAUUUAUUCAUUACAAACUACAAAUACGUUAUACAUCCUGCUUAGUAAGUUGUAUGCAACUUUAAUCUCGUGCAUUGUAUAUGGGGAAAAUCUUUUGAAAUGUAAUGUCGAAGUUCUGUAAUCCUUUAUAUUUAUGCUGGUUCCUUGUAGACCUUUUUGUUUAUGUAUAAAACGGGUCAUGAAGCUUUUCACCUGCCAACAUGAUGCAUGCAUUUUAUGUCAAUAUUUAUAUAUAAUAUUGAUUUUCUUGCUUC